This 28-nucleotide non-coding RNA is filed under the name Rattus norvegicus (Norway rat). The record is from RNAcentral. Lineage: Eukaryota; Metazoa; Chordata; Mammalia; Rodentia; Muridae.
UGUAAGGACACUGGCUCUUUGGAUUGGU